Molecule: ribosomal RNA, 543 nt
Filed under: Cortinarius sp. UBC F16581 SG210807_2
Lineage: Eukaryota; Fungi; Basidiomycota; Agaricomycetes; Agaricales; Cortinariaceae
Description: eukaryotic LSU rRNA
Rfam family: Eukaryotic large subunit ribosomal RNA
Source: RNAcentral
UGUGACCUCAAAUCAGGUAGGACUACCCGCUGAACUUAAGCAUAUCAAUAAGCGGAGGAAAAGAAACUAACAAGGAUUCCCCUAGUAACUGCGAGUGAAGCGGGAAAAGCUCAAAUUUAAAAUCUGACAGUCUUUGGCUGUCCGAGUUGUAAUCUAGAGAAGCAUUAUCCGCGCUGGACCGUGUACAAGUCUCCUGGAAUGGAGCGUCAUAGAGGGUGAGAAUCCCGUCUUUGACACGGACUGCCAGGGCUUUGUGAUGUGCUCUCAAAGAGUCGAGUUGUUUGGGAAUGCAGCUCAAAAUGGGUGGUAAAUUCCAUCUAAAGCUAAAUAUUGGCGAGAGACCGAUAGCGAACAAGUACCGUGAGGGAAAGAUGAAAAGAACUUUGGAAAGAGAGUUAAACAGUACGUGAAAUUGCUGAAAGGGAAACGCUUGAAGUCAGUCGCGUUGUCCAGGGAUCAAUCUUGCUUUUGCUUGAUGUACUUUCUGGUUAACGGGUCAGCAUCAAUUUUGACUAUUGGAAAAAGAUUGAGGGAAUGUGGCAU